Small nuclear RNA from Suricata suricatta (meerkat), 104 nucleotides. The record is from Ensembl. NCBI's taxonomy places the organism in Eukaryota, Metazoa, Chordata, Mammalia, Carnivora, Herpestidae.
GUGUUCACUUGGGCAGCACAUAUACUAGAAAUUGAAAUGAUCCAGAGAUCAGCACGGCCCCUACCAAGGUUGACACACACAUUCACCAAGCAUUCUACGUUUUU